UACAGAGGGUGCGAGCGUUGUUCGGAAUUACUGGGCGUAAAGCGCGCGCAGGCGGCUUUUUAAGUCUGACGGUGAAAUGCCGGGGCUCAACCCCGUGCCCGCCGCGGAUACUGGGAGCUGGAGACAUGUAGAGGCAAGCGGAAUUCCGGGGUGUAGCGGUGGAAUGCGUAGAGAUCCGGAAGAACACCGGGAGGCGAAGGCGGGCUUGCUGGGCA
This 215-nucleotide ribosomal RNA is filed under the name uncultured bacterium. RNAcentral's name for it is "partial 16S ribosomal RNA". It matches the Rfam family "Bacterial small subunit ribosomal RNA", at positions 524 to 735 of the family's 1533-position model. The record is from RNAcentral.